CCUACGGGUGGCAGCAGUGGGGGAUAUUGCACAAUGGGGGGAACCCUGAUGCAGCGACGCCGCGUGGGUGAAGAAGCGCCUCGGCGCGUACAGCCCUGUCAGCAGGGAAGAAAAUGACGGUACCUGACCAAGAAGCCCCGGCUAACUACGUGCCAGCAGCCGCGGUAAUACGUAGGGGGCAAGCGUUAUCCGGAUUUACUGGGUGUAAAGGGGGCGCAGACGGCAAUGCAAGCCAGGAGGGAAAGCCCGGGGCCCAACCCCGGGACUGCUCUUGGAACUGCAUGGCUGGAGUACAGGAGGGGCAGGCGGAAUUCCUAGUGUAGCGGUGAAAUGCGUAGAUAUUAGGAGGAACACCGGUGGCGAAGGCAGCUUACUAAACUGCCACUGACAUUGAUGCUCGAAAGUGUGGGUAUCAAACAGGAUUAGAUACCCGUGUAGUC
Molecule: ribosomal RNA, 440 nt
Filed under: uncultured bacterium
Lineage: Bacteria
Description: partial 16S ribosomal RNA
Rfam family: Bacterial small subunit ribosomal RNA
Source: RNAcentral